Molecule: long non-coding RNA, 865 nt
Filed under: Homo sapiens (human)
Lineage: Eukaryota; Metazoa; Chordata; Mammalia; Primates; Hominidae
Description: non-protein coding LINC00474:4
Source: RNAcentral
CUUGAAUUGUGCUAAGGCAGUAGAUCUUAUGUAUCCUCACCACACGCACACAUGAAAGAAGGUGACAGAUGUAUAAAUUAGCUUGAUGUUGAUGAUCAUUUCACAAUGUACACAUUUAUCUAAUUAUCACAUUGUGCACCUUAAAUAUAUACUGAACAAUAUUUAUUGAUUGCACUUCAACAAAAAAUAAGACAAAAUUAUAUUUAAAAAAAAAAACAGACAAAAAACAAAGAUAUGCUGAAUUUAAUUAGUCUCUGGUUUUAUUUCUCCUACUCCUCUUCCCAAAGGCUCUGUGUUAGUGGAUUCACAAGCAACCUGUACUCCUCAAAGAAAGAUGAUAAGAUGAAGGAGAUCUCUAGAACCAGCAACUGGGGCUCUUCCUUCAGUGAAAAAAGUGGGUGUAUGCAGACUCAUCCAUCCAUGAAUCUAGAUUGCAGGGAUGUGACCUAUGUAAUGAACUUGCUACUUAUUGCUCAUCAUCAUCUUCUUCAAUGACAAAAAAGAAAAUAGUAACAAUGAAUACGUCUCUUGGGCAAAAUAAAUAAUGAGAUUGUUACAGCAACCUGAUUUUUGAAAAGAAAAAAGGAACUUCCUCGAACUAAAGCAGUUAAGACCUCGACAUUUGCUCAUAGAAAAAGUCGCUGAGUCGUUUCUAGUUGUGAAGGUGCAAAAGAUGCAGUUAUCCCUUAUGGAAAAUUCCAAGAACUUGUGCCUAAUUUGAGUCAUGCAAACCUGAGUUCUGCAUGACUGAGCUCUGUCACUCAAUGGUUGGGAAAUUUGUGAUCAUCUCUACGCCUUGCUUUCUGCAUCUGUAAAGUGGAAAUGAUAAUAUCUACCUUGUGUGAUUCCUGGAAGAAUUAAAUAC